CCUACGGGCGGCAGCAGUGGGGAAUAUUGGACAAUGGGCGAAAGCCUGAUCCAGCCAUGCCGCGUGUGUGAAGAAGGUCUUCGGGUUGUAAAGCACUUUCAGUGGGGAAGAAAGCCUUGGGGCUAAUACCCUCGAGGAAGGACAUCACCCACAGAAGAAGCACCGGCUAACUCCGUGCCAGCAGCCGCGGUAAUACGGAGGGUGCGAGCGUUAAUCGGAAUUACUGGGCGUAAAGCGCGCGUAGGCGGUCUGAUAAGCCGGUUGUGAAAGCCCCGGGCUCAACCUGGGAACGGCAUCCGGAACUGUCAGGCUAGAGUGCAGGAGAGGAAGGUAGAAUUCCCGGUGUAGCGGUGAAAUGCGUAGAGAUCGGGAGGAAUACCAGUGGCGAAGGCGGCCUUCUGGACUGACACUGACGCUGAGGUGCGAAAGCGUGGGUAGCAAACAGGAUUAGAUACCCGGGUAGUC
Molecule: ribosomal RNA, 465 nt
Filed under: Vreelandella stevensii
Lineage: Bacteria; Pseudomonadati; Pseudomonadota; Gammaproteobacteria; Oceanospirillales; Halomonadaceae
Description: partial 16S ribosomal RNA
Rfam family: Bacterial small subunit ribosomal RNA
Source: RNAcentral